This 413-nucleotide ribosomal RNA is filed under the name uncultured bacterium. RNAcentral's name for it is "bacterial SSU rRNA". It matches the Rfam family "Bacterial small subunit ribosomal RNA", at positions 355 to 786 of the family's 1533-position model. The record is from RNAcentral.
UGGGGAAUAUUGCACAAUGGGGGAAACCCUGAUGCAGCGACGCCGCGUGAGCGAAGAAGUAUUUCGGUAUGUAAAGCUCUAUCAGCAGGGAAGAAAAUGACGGUACCUGACUAAGAAGCCCCGGCUAACUACGUGCCAGCAGCCGCGGUAAUACGUAGGGGCAAGCGUUAUCCGGAUUUACUGGGUGUAAAGGGAGCGCAGGCGGUCUUGCAAGUCUGAUGUGAAAGCCCGCGGCUCAACCGCGGGACUGCAUUGGAAACUGUAGGACUUGAGUGUCGGAGGGGCAAGUGGAAUUCCUAGUGUAGCGGUGAAAUGCGUAGAUAUUAGGAGGAACACCAGUGGCGAAGGCGGCUUGCUGGACGACAACUGACGCUGAGGCUCGAAAGCGUGGGGAGCAAACAGGAUUAGAUACC